This 472-nucleotide ribosomal RNA is filed under the name uncultured bacterium. RNAcentral describes it as "bacterial SSU rRNA". It matches the Rfam family "Bacterial small subunit ribosomal RNA", at positions 355 to 825 of the family's 1533-position model. The record is from RNAcentral.
UGGGGAAUAUUGGACAAUGGGCGAAAGCCUGAUCCAGCCAUGCCGCGUGUGUGAAGAAGGUCUUCGGAUUGUAAAGCACUUUAAGUUGGGAGGAAGGGUUGUAGAUUAAUACUCUGCAAUUUUGACGUUACCGACAGAAUAAGCACCGGCUAACUCUGUGCCAGCAGCCGCGGUAAUACAGAGGGUGCAAGCGUUAAUCGGAAUUACUGGGCGUAAAGCGCGCGUAGGUGGUUAGUUAAGUUGGAUGUGAAAUCCCCGGGCUCAACCUGGGAACUGCAUUCAAAACUGACUGACUAGAGUAUGGUAGAGGGUGGUGGAAUUUCCUGUGUAGCGGUGAAAUGCGUAGAUAUAGGAAGGAACACCAGUGGCGAAGGCGACCACCUGGACUGAUACUGACACUGAGGUGCGAAAGCGUGGGGAGCAAACAGGAUUAGAUACCCAGGUAGUCCCUGAGCGGGCUGGCAAGGCGCAU